CUCCAUCAGCCGGUUGUUGCCAGAAGAUGAAGGAACAAGCACCAUGCUAUUGCGAGUACAUGAAGAUAGAAGAUGUCAAACGUGUUUUUGACAGAGUUGAGAUUGCGAAAAUGGCUAAAUUGUGUGGAGUUUCAUAUUCUUCCACCUGUUAGAAUCACGUUUGGUUUCAUAUGACUAUCUCUGGCUGGGAUAAUGUGGCAUCUCAAUAAAUAAAAAUUUUAUUUGAAAACUAAUUUACUCAUAAUUUCAACUAUAAUUUACCUAUGUUCUUUUUUUUUUUGGAAUGAUACUGGUGAUUUUCUAUUAUUUACCUUUAUUGUCUUGAUUCAUGUUACAUAUGUGCUAAAAGAACUACACAAUGAUCUAGAUUUUGUUUGAACCGUACUGGAUUGGUUGGAUUGGAAACUGGUUUUGAUACUAGUAUAAUUACAGGGGUUAGAUUGGUUGACCCACGAACCAAUAGAGACUAGUUGAAUCGAUUUUCUCUAUUUCUUAAAAAUUAUUUUUAUAUUUAUUUGAAUUUUUAAAUAAUUUAUUUAAUAAAACUGGACGAAUUGGUCGAAAUGAAAAAUAGUUAUUUAACUGAUUCGACCAUCAGUCCAGUUCUGAAAACAUUGUUAUAGUUAAAAAAAGAAAAAGAAAUGGGUAGGGUAGAUCAAAUUAUUAAAUUAUAAACAUAUAUGUUAUUCGAAUAUUUAUUUGGGUAAAGCACACUUGUAGUCACUCAACUAUUAGUAAAUUUCUCUUUUAUGCUCUGAAUUAUGAAAAUUUACAAAAUGAUCACUCAAUUAUUCAAUUUUCUCUUUUUUGAUCUCUUGUUAGCUAGACUUGUUAAUUGGCCGGGUUACCUUACCAGGCAUGUAACAACCCAUUUUUCAGUGGUGUCAGAAACAAUGGUUUCGGGACCACAAAUUCGAUGAGUAAGUCUAUAUAUUUAUUAUUUAAUAUUUAUGAGUCAGUUUCAAUAUUAUAUUGAAUUUGUGAUUAAUAAUUUUUAUAAAUUGAACGAAUAGAUAAGUAAAAGUGGUUUAAUCCAAAGUCAAGUGGUUAUUGAAAAUGAGACGUUGGGACCUCAUUUCCGUAAUUUAAGGUCGUAAAUAUUUUUAUUAAAUAUUUAUGGACUCUUAUUAUAGGUGAAUUUAAGUUUGGUUCGGUAAUUUUGACGAUUGAUUUCUUAAUUAAGGAAAGAGAAUUAAAUUGUAAAAAAGGUAAAAAUUACCCAUUAUAGAUUUUAAAUUACCAAAGGGAUUAACAUGGAAAUUAGACCAUUGCCAAAAGUCCAAGCGGUGGUGGAUGGUAAUCAUUCCACUAACCUUUGGGAUAUUUGUUCAUUAGGUCCUAAUUAGGUUAAGGUUAAGUUGAAAUAAAGUUGUUUGAUUUGAUUUAAUAUAAUUGAAGGACCAAUUGUGCAAUUGGACUUUUCUUAAAUGGCCAAACGGUAGGAAGGAUAUGAAAUUCUCUAGUUUUGUGAUUAAUUGCUAUUAGAUCCUUAUUAUUUAGUAAUGAAUUAAAAAGGACUAAAUCAUAAAGAAUGAAAAAGUUAAGUUUUAUUAAUUGGAAAUGUAAAUUAGAUGGACCUAGACGGUAAUUAUGUCAUAUAUAUUUGAUGGAAAAUUAUGAACAUGUGUUAGAGAUAUUAUAAGUAUAAUUUAAAGGUUAAUUUUGUAAAUAAGUAAAUAGGUUAAUGAAAAAUAAAAGAUAACUAAAUUUAAAAAGCUAUCAUCUUUUUAUCCAUUCAAGAAAACUGAAAACACCAUUUUUAGAGGAGAAACAAGUUCGUCCAACUAGGGUUCUUCCAUUUAAGAGCUAAACCUUGCUCAUUGUUAGUAUUUUUUUAUGUUUUUAAGUUUAUUUUAGCUUGAUCUAGCUAACUUAAGGUCUAAUUUGUAAAAUUGUUAAACGUUGUAGAUUAUGCCAUUGAUGAUUUAGUGUGUUCUUGAAGUUUAAUGGUAUAUUAUUAACCUUGGUUGUUAAAUAAGACUAUUUUGUAAAGUAUUUUUUUUUGUAAUUUUAAUGUUAAAGGACCAAAAUGUUAAAGUGAUAAAAUUACAAGGACUUGACGUGAAAUAAUAGCAAGUUUGAGUUUUAAUGUAAUAGAAUGCGAUUCGGUUUGAUUUGGAUUUGGUUAAAAUUGGUUAAAUAGCAAGUUUGGAGCUUAGAGACUAAAUUAUAUAAAAGUAAAAUAUUGGAGGUAAUUUUGUGAAAAUGUCAAAAAUGACUUAGUUGCAUAUAAUAGUUAAUUAUGUUGCUAGAAAUUGAUAAUUGAAUGAAAUUAUUAUUUAGAUUGUGAAUGAAUUGAAAAUCGAAGAAAAGAGAAAGUUGCUGAAUAGUCCUUGAACUUUUGUCAUUUCUGCAGUUUAGCUCUGGUAAGUUCAUUUAAUAUGAAAUAAAUUAUAUUUCUAAUUGUUUAUGAAUGUUAGAGCUUAAAUGAUAUAAAAUUACUAAUAUUUAAAUUGAUUUAUUUAUAGAACUGAAACUGUAAAAAGUUACGAAAAUGGUAUUUUUUUAUAUCAAUGGAGACAAGCUAUAUUCGUAUGUAAGACCAUAACAAGGCUAUGAAAAUUAUAAACGUAAGACCAUAGUGAGAGCACAAUAUGAAACGUGUAUUGGGGUUUCAAUCGUCUUUACAAUAUUCAUCAUAUGGAAAUAAAUGAGGAUCUAAAUGUGACUUGAUGUGUGAAACGAUAAGUGGUUUGUAAUAGUUAUACGUGUAAAGGUAGUAAAUGUUGUAUUAUCAUUAUAUGUUAAAGCGAUUAUGCAUUGUGAUAGUAAGAAAUGCGAAUGUUGUUGAAAUGUGGAAAUUUGAUUUGAACUAAUGUUUGAGCAUUACUCACUUGCUGUAAGCUGUGAUUGACAAGAAUUCUGAUAAUAACCUUGUUGACAGUAACUCUAUUCAUUUAUCUUGUUAUUUGAAUUAUUUUGUUUAAUUUAGUAAGUUUUAUUGUUUAAUUGACGAACUUACUAAGCUUUAUGUAAGCUUAAUCGUUUCCUUGUCUUUUUCUUUGUAGAUUAUAUUUUAUGGAAAUCGGGAGAUCGAAUCAACUCAAAGAAUCACACUACCUGAAGACCUUUUUGGUAGAUUUUGAAUUCAAUUUGGCUUAUAUGGCAUGUAAUAGGAAAAUUUUAUUAUGUUUUGUAAUGGCUCCUAACUACUUAUAUUGUACAGUUGUUGUGUAUGUAAGGUUGUGGCUUGAAUAACUUUGUUAGACAUGCAUGCUUAAUUCUAAACUUAAGCAUAAUGGAUAAACAUGGAAUGAUAAGUUGGCAUGAAUUAGAUAUGGUAAGUUGGGACUGAAUUUGAGUGUGUUUGUGGUUUGUGUAUAUUUGCUAAGGUAAUGAGAUCAUAGGGUUGGACUUGUGGUGUCUUUGUUGACACAUUAGGUUAGGUCUUGGCUGAAUGAUUUAGCAUGUUUUGGAUGUUCUCAAAUGUGUUUUGAAGUCUUGUGAUCAUGUGUUAUAAAAUGGUUUAGGUACCUAAGCAUUUAGAUGUGAAAAGUGCAUGUUUUGGGUCAUUUUUGGGCACACACGGCCCGAGACACAGGUUGUCACAUGAUCCUGUAUCACACAUGGGCAACCUACACAGGUGUAUGCUCCGAGUGUGUUAGGUGCAGGGUUCACACGGGCUGGCACACGGAGGAGUCACUGACAUGUGAGCCAAGUUAGUGAGUUACACAAGUGGAUACACAUGUGAGCACAUGGACGUAUGGAGUAGCCACACAAGCGUGUGGGAUAGCCACAUAGCCAUGUCUAGAGGCACACGAUUUAGAUUCUGUCACACGUCUUAGACACACGACCGUGUGACCCUUGUUUGAAAAUUUUUCAAUUUUUCUCUGAACUUCUUGAUUUGAUUUGAAUUGGUCCCUAAUUGUUCCUAAUAUAUUUUUAAAGCCUCUUAGGCUCGAUUUAAGCUCCAUAAAUAUAUGUUUAUUUCAUUCUGAAUUAUAUAUGUAUUUUCAAAAUUGAUAUGAUUAUUAGAUGUUAAUUGUUAUGAGAUGUUCCGAAUUGUACGAUAAUACUCUGUAACCCUAUUCUGAUGAUGAAAACGGUUUAUGGGUAUUAUAUUAAGUGGUAUUAGAACCACAAUUUAGUCGAUUCUUAGAAUGAACGUAGCGUGUUCGAAGUCUAGAAAUUACAUGCCAUAUAAACUAGUGAUAGUGUGAUAUGGAUUGAUCCGAUCUAACACCUAUUUUAUUGUAGAUUAUAAAGAUGUCAUCUGAAUCUGAUCGUGACGAAACUAAUGAAGUUAAUAGUAACAUUUCGACUUUUGAUUCUGGUGCAAGUCAUAGUAUACAGGUUCCACAAAUGCCUGAAAAUGAGGUUAAGAAUAUUUUCUUAUAGAUCUAAUGAAUGUUAAUAGAAUCUGACCAUACUGAACUUGAUGAGGUAAAUGGUAAUAUUCCAACUUAUAAAUAAGAGGUAAUGUAAUGACCCAAAAUCCACAUGCACCGGAAAAGUGAGUUAUAGGGCCCCCGUCUUAGUGAAAUAAGUUCGAAAUAAUUAUAAAAAUAUUUAUGAGCCUAGUGAUGUGUCUAAUUAGGAUUUAAUUAGGUGAAAUUAACUUAAUUUAGAAUAAUUAGCAAAAAGAACUAAAUUGAAAAAGGGGUAAAAGUUUAAUUCUAAAGUAAUAGAAAAUAAAAAGGAUCAAAAUGGCAAUUAAGCCAUUUACAUAAAUUGAGGCGGCAAAUGGAAGAAAAAUCAAGAUUUUUCUUGAAUAUAUGUAUUAUAUAUUUAUAAUAUUAAAAUUAUUAUUAUUAUGGUUUUAUAAUUAUUAUGAUUAUUUAAUGAAUAUUAUAUUUUAAAUAAAUUAAAUAGUUGAUAAAUAUAUGGUAAUAAAAUUUACAUGUGUAAAAAUUAUUUUGGUACAUUUGUAAUUUAAAUACUAAAUUACUUAUAAUUUAAGUAAAAAGAUAUUUGUUAACUAAAUAAUUAAAAUUUUAAAUUAUGAGAUUUUUGUUUGAGAAACAAAUUAAAUAAUGACAAAUGUAAUAAAAUUAUUGGUACAAAUGUAGAAUUAAAUAUGUGUACAAUUGUAAAAUAUGUAAAUGAUGUUAAAAUAGAUAUUUAAAAUAAAUAUAUUAUAAUAUAUGCUAAUUAAAUAAGUAAAGCAAAUAAAUAUAAAAGAGAAAUAAAGAAACAAAAGGGAAUAGAAAUAGAAUUGAAAACGGGAAGCAGGGGAGAAAAAGAGAAAGAAAAAGGGCAAGAAAAAUAAAAGAGAAAACUAAGGAUUUGAAGCUUGGAGUUAAUUUGGAAAGUCAAUUAAGUCCUUUUUAGUUAAUCUUGAUGUUUUAGAAGCUUUGAAACAAGAUUUUGAUGAAAUUAAGUUGAUAGUUCAAGAGUUCAUAUGUUUCCAAAUAUGGUUCAUGUUGGACAAAUUAUGGAAUUAGGGAUUUAAUUGAAUGAAUUCUAAGUUAGAAUUGAUUAAGGGAUUAAAUUGUAAACUAGGCUAUAAGUUUUAUGUUGUAGGGACUAAAUUGAAUAAAUUUCGAAAUUAGGGAAAUAUGCAGGAAAUUUUAUAGUUAAAUAUAAGUUUAGACUAAAUUUAAAUAGAAAAAGAGAGUGAAUUGGAUUAAGAAAAUAAUUAAGUUUAGUUAGGAUUAAAUUGGGAAUAAGGUAGGAAUUGUUUAGAAAUUUAAUUAUUUAUUAUAAUUAAUGCUGUAAAUAAUAAUGUAAAUUACUAUUAUUUUCGUAGCCAACAAAGAACCUGAAGCAUCAGCAUCAAAAGGAAAGGAGAAAGUCAUCGAGGACUAAAACGGGAGAAUUACGGUGUGUAUUACUAUAAUUCGAAUUUUAAUUAUUAUUGAUUGCUGAAUUUUUAAUUGUUAUGUAUGGUAAGUAAGACUUGAGGUAAGUAAGUGAAAUUGAUAUGAAUAUUGAGUGAAAAUGAAAGUGAUGCAUAUUGAAUUAAAUUGAAUAGAAUAAGUGAAUUAUGGAAUAUGUGAUUAUUUGAAAAGUGUAUUGAUUGAAAAAUGAAUGGUGAUUUGAAUUGUGAAUUGAAAGUGAUAGAAUUGAGAAAGUGAAUUGAAUACCCUAUUAACUAGUCGGGCUGAGUCGGAUAUAGUUGGCAUGCCAUAGGAUUAGAAGUGUUCAGGGAUGCUUCGACCUCAAGUCGAUGAGACACUGGGUGUCACUAAAUUUCUUCGGAUAGAUUCGAUGAGGUACUGGGUACCAACUUUACUUCGGCUAGGCUGAUGAGACACUGGGUGUCAACUAUUACUUCGAACUAUCCGAUGAGGCACUGGGUGCCAUAUUGGUGUGUUUGAUUGGAUCCAUGUAUCCGCCAAAGUCCGAGUUACGUUAAUAGGGUGAAAAAUUGAAAUGUGAAUUUAAGGCAUUGAAAAAAAAAAGGAAAUUGAAUUAUGAAUAGAAAUUGGAAUUGUGAUAGAAAGAGAAAAGUAUGAGCUAAAUGUUCGUAAGUGGUUUAAAUUCAAGUUUGUGAAAAAUACAUUAAUUGACGAAUAAUUAAAUUGAAUUGUUAUUAUGAAAUGAUGAAAAUAAAAAUAAAAAUAAAGUAUGAAUUAGUAUUUAAGAAAUUAAUUGUUAUGUAUUUUAAUAUUUAUAUUUUUAUUAUUGAUGAUAUAUUUUGAAUUAUGGUAAUACCACUGAGUAUAUCCAUACUCAGCGUAAGGUUGUUUCUGUGCGCAGGUUAGUAGAAGUCAAGUGUCCCGGCUCAGCAUCCAGAACUAUCCCGACUCCAACACAAAUUUGGUGAUGUAUAUUUUUCUUUUGGGUAAAGGUGGCAUGUACGUAGGUGUUGUUUAGUCACUUGAAUAUGUAUAUUACUUUGGGUAGUGAAGGAUGAAUUAUAAGAUUUAGAUGGUUAAAUGAAUGAAGUAUUUAAUCAAUUUAGAAUGAUGCUAUGAUAGUUAUUAAGUUAAAAAUUAUGUUAAUGAUAUAAAUAUUAGUUAUAUGAAUGUGAAACAUUGGUGUUGGUUGUUUUGGUUUGAAUUUGCAGGGGUUUUAGGUAAAAAUAAGCAGAAAUGCUGCCGAAUUUUUUUUUAUAAAAAAAAAAUUCCCGGAAUACUCGAACAAGUCCCGUUCUACUUUUAAUACGUGUUUGAACUUCGAGAGUCCAAUAUAGGGACUUAAUUAUUAUAUUAUACUAUGAAAGUUAUAUUAAUUGUAAAUUAUUCGUAAGUUGUCUAAUAUGUCCGGUAAUGCCUCAUAACCUCGUUCCGGCGACGGUUUGGGGUUAGGGGGUGUUACAGGUAAAUUAUAGUUUAUCGGUUUUGUAAAUGUCAGAUAGUGAAGUCAAAAUGUCAUUUCAACUUAAUGAGUCAGUAGUUCACAGAAAUAGCUUGAGCCAAUUCAGAGGCUCUACAAUUUCUACCUCUUUUCGAGCAUCCCGUGGUAACUUUGAGUCUUCAACUGACUAAAAUAGUUCGAAGACUCUUGUGUAAAUAAUUAAAUAGUAUAGUGAUGAAGACUUCAAAAGUAAAAUAGAUGAAGAUUCUAUUAACCAACAAAUUGGAGAGAUUAAUUAAAACUGAAAUUAACUAAAUUAAUUAACUAAAGAACACGACAAAGAAUGAAUUAGGAAAACAAAUGAUUAACAACCAACAAAGAAAAUAAUACCCAGGAAAGAAUCCUCCUAGAUUUCAUCUGUCAUUAUCAAUCUGAAUUAAACAAUUUCUUCACUUUCUAUCUUGAUCUGUAGAAAUCCCUAAAUUAUGUUAAUAUCUCUUUCGAGAGUAAGAGCAACUGACUUUAGGUUAAUUAAUUGAAAUUUAUUUCCAAUUAAAACCCAUAUUAUCACAUUAACUCGAUCUAUUGAUCCCCCUAUUAGAUUUAACUCUAAUGUGGUAGAUUUAUGUCAUCCUAUUUCUAGGAUUGCAUGCAAUUCCACUCAAUAAUGCUAGAUCUACUCUUAAACAGAAACUUUUUCUCCUCUGAUUUAGAAAUAUCAAACCAAUAAUUAAGCACAAAUAAUUGAGAACAAGAUCUAAGUAUUUAUUGUGUAGAAUAGAAGUCAAACAACAUAAUUCAUCAUAUGGUUUAUUUCCCCUAGGUAUUUAGAAAAUUAGUUCAUAAUCACAAAUAAAAGCAUCCAGAAGACAGUAUAACCACAAGAAAUAAGAAAACCCAUAAUAAACUUCAAAGGAAUCAAGAGGAGAUCUUCAAUAUUGAUGGAAAUUUGCUUUAGAGUCGGCUUCAAUGGUGUUUUUUAAGUUGUUUUCUUGAGUAUUCUAUGAUGGCUCACUCCCUUCUUUUUAUAUUAGGUAUAUAUAGGUUUUAAAAUACCCGAAAAACCUAAAAUUAAGUUUUUUUUUGCAUUUCUAGAGUGCAUUUUGCAAUUUCCACACCGUUUGGCACACGACCAUAUGGCUCACACAGCCGUGUGUCCAGUUCGUAUGGAAUGGCUCAGCCAUUGUGGCUUCUGAAACUUGCUCUUAUUUUUUGAUUUUCUCUCGUUGUUUAGUCAUUUUGCUCCCAAAUACUCUCCUAAGUAUAGAAACAUGAAUUUAAAGGAUUAUGAGCAUAAAAUUCACCAUUUUAAAUAGAAUAAUCAUCCAAAAACGCAUUAAGAAUGAGGCAAAAACAUGUUACUUUUGGCAUUUGUCAAAUAUCCCCACAUUUAAGCAUUUGCUUGUCCUCAAGCAAAAUCCUCAACCCACAUUCAAAUUAACUGUUCUCAAGUUGUCAUUUUCAUCAAUAAUGUUUCAAGAUAAUUCGCAAACAAUCAUGCAUUGGAAAUUCAACCAAAAGGACACUAAAGAUUCAAGCAGUCCAAACCAUAACCAUAAAGUUAUCUCGCCUUAUCUAAAUAAUUAUCUUAAGGUUCAAAUAUUGUGCACUCAAUAUUCGAAAGAGAAAUGCCAUUACCAUAAAAUUGCUUAAAAAUCAAAUCUCCACCACUAUAGAAUGAGAUGACACACCAAUCAAUAGGUCUUUUCAAGGUUGUAAUGGGGCUUAGGUUAAGGGUAUGGAAAAGGUCAGAAAAGUCGGUUAUAAUCAAGAUCGAGUUAAUAAAUUAUCAAACUAGAAAAACAAUCAAUUGCUAAAUUAAAAGAACUUACAUCAAAAAGAAUAAGCACAAAUGGAAACGAGCUUUUCGACAGAAUAUGAAACUAAUUAUUCAAGCUAAAUAUAAAAUUUAUGUUUUUUCUUUUCGAUUUUUUUGAGAAAUAAGAAAUAAAAUUCAACAAUUUAAAAAAAAAUGAAAUAUUGUUCUCGACAAAAAGGGAGUCAAUAAAAAGAAUACAUUUACAACAUAGAUUUGGGUUAAGGGUUAACAUUAAUAGGUUAAUAAAAAAAAAUUUAGGAUCAAUGAGGUUUACUAGGGGUUAACACAACAAUUAAGGUGGUUAAAUGAGUUAAAUCCUAAGUAUCUCUAUCAUCUCAAUAUAUUAAAUCAAUAAUAUGGUCUAAACAUGUAUAAUAUAAGAAAGUUCUAGAAUAACAAAUGAAGUUGACAUACUUUCAACCAAAAAUAAAAUGAGCACGAAUAAAUAUAAGCUCUAUAGGCUCAAAGGCUCACAAAAAAUUAAGGUUUUGAUGUCAAACUUGCAAUUUCAGAGUUUCAAGACAAUAAUUCAAUUCAAGAAAGCAACCUAAAAUAUUUAUUUAUGAAAAAUUAACUUAUCAUGCUUGACUCUCUCGUGCCUUAAAGUAUAAAUCACACAAUGCAUAUAAAUCCACAAAUUAAUCCAAAACAACAUCAAUAAAAAUUUCAAAUAAAACAAUUCACUCUAACAGACAACCUUCUCAGACUUAAGAUGUAUAUUAUCCUUCAUGUACAAAUAGAUAUAAGCACAGAAUAAGACAAUAUCAAAAGAGAGGGAGAACUAAAACUAGCCUGAAUAUGGAUGAAUUUGCCAUAAUAGUGAAAAGCAGAAUCGUAAGCGAGUCUAAAUGCGGUGCAUGUUUCCAAGUAAACUAAUAAGAAAAUUAACAAAAAUAAAUAAGAAGGUAAAGAGAUUACAAACUUGAACAAAACAACCAUCAAAAUAAUAAAAAUAACAGCAUAGUUCAAAAUAUAAAUAAAAUAAAUUAGUCUCACAAAAAAUACAACAAUUAAAAAUAAAAGUACAAUUGAAAAUAAAAUAAAUAAAGCAAAAAAAAUGAAAAAAAAUUAGUGAUCAUCAUCGUGAGAGGCAUCAGGAUCACACGAAACAUAAGCAGAAUGGGAGAUAUGCAGGUGUUGGUGAAUCAAUGUAAAGCCGCGUCAAUGUUGUCGAACCAUGCUGACUGUUACUUGACAUGCUCAUAAUGUAACCGUUCGAGGCGAUUUAGCUGAUGUGAAAUAUUGCCAAGUGUGACUGAAUGUGCAGGUGCAAUAGUAGAAGGGCUCGGAGGAUUGGGAAUGGGUCGCAAUGCUGGGGGGAGAUCAUCAUCAAGGUGCUUAUUAUCCUCGUGCUAUUAAGUUGCUCGUAACAACACAUACUGAUCACCGAAAGGCCCAGGCUGAUGAGCAAUCAUCCUCAUAUGUUUCAUAAUAUUUAAACCUUGUGGUGUCAUGUCCCCAACCAAAGUAAGAGUACCAAUCUGCUUGGGAGUCUCGAGGAGACCAAAGUGACAAGUCAAGAGUGUGAUAUCUAGACCCAUACAAAGAGGUCCUCUCCGUGACCGCUCACUCUGAUUAUGAAAACACUGGGCUACAAAGUGGGCUAGAUCAAUCAGAUGUUGUCCGUGCAUACUCUAUAAGAAAUAUGCAUUUAAAAUGCCCACGAUGCUUUUAACGGCCUGUUUUCAGUGGUGUUGAAAAUAGUGGUUUUGUGUCCAUAAUUCUGAUUAGUGAAUUAUUAAUUUAUUAUUUAUUUAAUGUCUAUGGGAUUAUAUUAAGGUCUUAUUAAUUUUUUUUAAGAAAUUUUGAUGUUUAAAUGGUUAAUUAGGUGAAAAUGAUUAAAUCGUGAAAAGUGUAAAAGUUGAGUUGUAUUAGUUAAAGUGGUCUAAUGGCUAUGAAAUCAUAAACUAAAGGACUUGAUUGGUAAAUAUACCGUUUAAAGUGUUAGUGGAUGUGCAUGGACAAGGUUUUAAUGAAAUUUUGAUAGUUUUUAAAGGUUAAAAUGGCAAUUGAAUAAUUAACUUUAAAACAAAAGAAACUAAAAAUGGUAUCAUCAUCAUCCUUGGCUAUCUCCACCAAAAUUUGAAGAGGAAAACACCAUUAGAAUAGGGUUGAGCAUUCGAUCAAGUUUCUACUUGUAUGUAAGUGAAUUCAAGCUCCUUUUUUUUAAUGAUUUUUAUGUUUUCGAGUUCAUUUUAGCUUAAUCUAGCUAGCCCGGAGGUUAAUUUGCAAAACCGUUAAAGGUUGAAGGACUUUUCAUGGAUAUUUUUUAAUGUGUUUUGACGUUUUUUGAUGUAUUAUUUAUCUUUUGUAACACCCCUUACCCGUAUCCGUCGCCGGAACAGGGUACGAGGUAUUAACAAAUUAUAGUAUAUACUAUUAAAUAAAACCCAACAAAAAUAUGGCGUGCAAUUUGAUCAUGGAUCAUUAUAACAUAUGCCAUUAACAAUACAAACCAACUUCAAAGGCUUCGUACAAAAUGAUUAGUUUGAUACUAUAAGUAGUAAUUUAAACCUAGACAAUUAUGACACGUAACAAAAUAACUAAGUCUGCUAUACAUGCCAUAUUUCAAAAUGUUGAGUUCAGAUACCAAGAGUAUUGAUAGUGCGGGCGGAUCUUCUAUGAUCUCUGAUUCCUGUACUCGCUGGAUGACACUAUAAGACAAAUGAGAGAAAAGAAAGUAAGCUUAUAGCUUAGUAAGUAAGUAAAUAAAUAACAAAUAAGGAAUCUAAUAUGUUUACAACAUAACUCAAUUAUAUCAUAUUUUUAAUCUUACUGUUUACUCCAAUUUGAUCAAGCUGUCCCUCCUGCGUCAUGAUCACUAAAUAAAUCAUAACUUGAGUUACGAAACUCGAAAUCCAAAUCCGUAAAAUUUCCCUGAAUCUAGACUCAUAAAAAUUCUUACAAAUUUUUUUCUAGAAUUUUUGGUUCAGCCAAUUAGUACAGUUUAUUAGUUAAAGUUUCCCCUGUUACACAGCUCAACUGAUCUGACCUCUGUUCAUUACGAAUUGAAUUUCUCUUAGUACACAAUUCAAAUAACCAUGAAACCUGUUUCAUUUAAAAAUAUACUCAAUAAGAAAUUUAUUCAUAUAAACUAUAUUUCUUAAUUUGUUUUGUAUAAUUUUUAAUGAUUUUUCAAAGUUGAAACAGGGGAUCACAUAGUCAUCCUGAACAAGUCUCACACAAUUGUAAAUAUCUCAAAAUAUAGAAUUCCUUUGCUUGCUCUGUUUCUUUUAUAUGAAAAUAGACUCAUUAAGCUUUAAUUUCACAUCUCAUUCAACCUCUAAUUAAAUUCCUUAUAUUUUUGGUGAAUUUUCAAAAUCACGUCACUGCUACUGUCCAAAACAGUUUUAAUGCUAAUUUCACUCUUUCACACAUUCUUUAUACUAACCUCAUUUUAACUUACAUAUAUAUAUAUAUAUACCACAAAUCAUUUUCACCACAUUUCAUGCAUCACAAGUGUAGGUCCAUGACUACAAUGUCACCACAAAACCAUCCCGUUGAACAAUUCGGAUUAAUCCUCGAUACUUGAUGGUUUCAGCACACAGCUCCACCAUCAUAUUUCAUUUAAUUCGACUCUCUUGUACACAUGGUGAACACUUAGUACGACUCAUGCGACCUAGCUGAUUUGUCUCAUAGCUCUCUUGUCUACAUGGUGUCCUUCACUUGGAAUCACGCAUGCGACCUAGCUACAUUUAUCUCUCACGUAGCUCUCUUGUCUACAUGGGAUACAUCCCGUAUCACACAUGUGACCUAGCUACUAUAUAGUAUCUCGUAGCCUUCUUGUACACAUGAUGUGCACUAGGCACCAUACAUGUGACCUAGCUACGCUCCCUCUAUUUUAUUCGAUUUUUCCGAAUGUUCAACCGGGAUCUCUCUCUCUAUUACUUAUUUCCAUUCUUCCAAUAGUCGAUUUAUACUUCAACAUCAGCUAAUAUAUAUAAUAGGCUGAAAUAUAAGAAUGUAAAUGAAAUUAAUGUAUUAUUUACAUACAAACUUACCUCGGUGCAAAAUAUGGGAAUUUUGCAAUUUAGUCCAAAACUUUCUCCUUCCCCCGUUCGAGGUCGAUUCCACGCCUUUCUUGAUCUAUAACAACAUAUUUAGCUCAUUUAACACUUGAACUAUUUAUUUUAAUCCAAAAAUCACAUUAUACAAAAAUUACAUUUUUGCCCCCUAACUUUUACAAAAUUACGAUUUUUCCCCAAGGCUCGGAAAUUUAAUUUCAGCCCUUAUUCUUAUGUUUAAUGACCUACUGAUCAUUUUUCUCUUCUCUGGCAACAUCAAAUUCUCACUCUAACACAUAGUUAUGAACAAUAGGUAUUUUUAUCGAUUAUGCCGUUUUGCUCGUUUUCGUUAAAAAUCGCUUAGAAAAGAUCGUUCUCCUAACUUCAAACAUUCAUAUUCUACCAUCAAACAACAAAAUACAUGCCUUUAAUUCAUGGGUAAAUUUUUAAACAUAAACCCUAACUCAAACUAAUGGUAGAAAUAAGUAAACCGAGCUACGAGGAUUUCAAAAAUGUGAAGAACAUUAAAAACGGGGCUUGAAAUCACUUACUAUGAAGCUUGAAAGUUGAAGAAACCCUAGCUAUGGAGGAGAGCAAUUUUCGGCAGCAACUAAUGAAGAUGAUAACCAAUUUUGUGUUAUUUUUCCCAUUUUAUUUCAUUUAAUAUACAAAUGACCAAAAUACCCUUACUACUAAACUUUCAAAAAAAUUCCCUCCAUGUCCAACUUUUGUCCAUAACUUAAGAAUGGGUCAAAUUUCUAUUUAAGACCUCCUAGUAAAUAUCCCAAAGCAAUUUCAUACUAAAAACUUCUAAAACACGAGUUUUACAAUUUAUUCGAUUUAGUCUCUAAUCUCAACUUAAGCGCGAAAUGCACAGAAUUUCAUCAUGAAACUUUCACGAAAUCAUGAAAUCAUAUCAUAAACCCCAAAAUAAUUAUAAAACAAUUAUUUCUAUCUCAGAUUUGUGGUCACAAAACCACUAUUUCGAUUAGGCCCUAAUUCAGGUUGUCACAUCUUUGUUGUAAAAUAGACAUGUUUUGUUAAGUGAUUUUUGUUGAAUUUUGGAAAUAUGGAUUAAAUUAUUAAAAGUAUAAAUCCGUGGGUUUUGUUGUGAAAUUUUGGUAAUAAUGGGUUGUUUCAAGGUCCUUUUGAACAUUGGUUAAGUUGGCUUUAGGUUAAAAUGGUUAGAUUUUAAGUUAUGAGCUUGAGGACUAAAUUGUAAAAAGUCAAAGUAUUAGGGACAAAUUUGUUAUUUUUUUAUAAAUAUGAAUUAUGGAUUAAAUUUAAUUCUACUUGAUUGAAUGAAAUUAUUUAUUUAGAUCAAGAUAAACCAUAAUCGGACUUAAAUCGUGGAAAAGCUAAAGUUUCGGAUUAGUGUUUGAUUCUACUUUUACGCCCUAGUUAUUAAGGUAAGUUCGCAUGAACUAUGAUCGUUUUAAUGUUAGUUAAAUUGACUAUUUGCUGUGUUGUUUUAAUAUAAAUGAAUCUAUGUAUAAAUGUAUCUAAGCUAUGAUGAAUUAACGGAUAACGAGUCCCAUUUGAACCUUAAGAAUUCUUAGGAUACAAAUGACAUGUCAUUAGGGAUUUCAUGUUUCGGGUGUUGGUCUUAAAUGUCCUACCGAUGGUUGAGGUCCUGCAUUUGUUGCAGAUUCUCCACAGCUCGUGUGAGCAAUAUCAUGUAGCUAACAUUCCGACCCACAACUCAUGUGAGCAGGUGUGAGCAUUAAUGUAAAGGAAAUGUUACUAUUAUAUGGAAAGGCACACUACGAGUGAACAUUCCCGAGUAGCUGAUGUAAUUCUAGAUGGUUCAAUGGGUAAGAAAAGGAAAUGAAAUGGUAAGUAUGCAAAUGGAAUGAAUCUUGAUCUUAUAAUGACAUUGAUGAGUUAAAUGAUAUGUUUAUAUAUGGUAAACUACAUAUCUUAUGGUUGAUUUCAUUUGUAUCAUGAACAAGUGUACUAACUUGUUAGUUUGAUGAUGUUGUAUAGGCUUUUACUAAGCUUAUGGCAUUGGUAAUGAUUUAUGCUUAAUCUAUGAAUUGUAUAAAUAAAAUGGUAAGUUAUGUUAAGUUUUUACAAUCUUACUAAGCACUCAUUGCUUACAUAGUUACUUUCCUUUGUUUUAUAGAUUAUAGGAAGCUCGAUCAGUUGGAAGUUCGUCGAAGACCUAUCACACUAUCCAACAAUCAUUUUAGUAUAUUUUUUUUUGUAUAUUUUGGCCAAGGUUAAUAAUGGCAUGUAUAGGAUCUUUGUAAUGUAAGUUUUGGUAAGUUUAAGCUUUUGCAGUUAUGCUGGUUUGGUGCACUUUUGAUGUCUUACCAAGUUAUGUCAUAUUAGUUACUUUUAAGUGCUUGUAAAUAAGGUUCUUUUGGUAUUUUUUGAUGGCUUGCAAAUGGUCAUAUGUGGUAGUUAAUUAAACUAGGUUAUUAUGGCUGGGAAUAUACAACAUUGACUUAUUUUGGUAAGUGAUAUUUUGCUAUAUUUGUGGUGCCUUUGAAUGGCAUAUUGGGUUAGAUGAAUUAGGGUGUUUGAAAAGGCAUGUUUUUGUGUAUUUGAAUGAAGUUUAAAUUCCUUGAAUGUAUGCCUAAAUGGUCUGAAUGGUUAGGUAUGAAUUGGACUUGAAAUGACUUGAUUUUAGGUUAAAUUUUGGUUUCACAUGGCUUGGGACACAAGCUGUCACAUGGUCGUGUGACACAUAACCUGGUAACAUGGACGUGUGCCAUUUGAAAUUUCUUAGUGAUUCAAGUCAGUGAGUUACACGACCUGACACACAGGUGUGUGUGGCAACUCAGAGAGUUAUACGGCUGUGUAACACUUCUCAGUGAGUUACACGGGUAAGGACACGUGCUGGGACACGGUCGUGUUCCCCUUGUUCGAAUAUUACACGACCUGGCCAUACGACCGUGUGGCCCCUGUUUUCACAUUUUUGCAUCGUUUUCUUAAAACUUCUAUUUUGUUUUGAUUUAGUUCUGAAUUGCUUCUAAGCUAUUUUUAAAGCCUCGAAGGCUAGAUUUAGGGACAAAAUGCAAAUGAAUGAUUGGUUUACAAUAAAUUUAAUUUGUUUUAUGUUAUAAUGUUAAAUGAUUUCUAGUUGAAAGAUAAUGCUCUGUAACCCUAAUCUAGAGGCGGAGACGAGUUAAGGGUGUUACAACGCUUGUACUCUUCUUUCGUCUAGUUAAAAUAUGAACUAGAAUGGCAUGAAUAUAUUACAAUGUUGGAGGGAGGUACUGAGCCUUAGACUGGCUCGGGUUGCACGAAAUGGCAACCUCAGAGAUUUUCGACCAACAUAGAGAGACCGAAUAAUGGAUGUGUUGUGGGAGGGAUGAGAGCUCGGUCACUGCUAAGAAAUCAUUAGAAUAUAGGUUGAGAGUGACACCAAAGCCUGCAUUACUAAAGUGUUGAGCGAUACCCCCAAGACGGAAUGAUAUAGCCCGUGGGUCAUCCCCCAACGAUAGUACAGUUGGUAGGAAGAAUGUGGAGAAAAACUCGAAUGUAAGCUCAACAUAUGUAGACUCGACGAUCGUGAAGAAUCACUCCCAUGGGAUUGCGAUUAAAAGAGAAUGAAUCAGUGCGAAUAAGCUCAUAAUUUGGAAGGUGUCCCAAUCUACACGCCGGCCCAUGCCCAAUGCUCUAUCCUUAAUAUUCUGGUACCUCUCCUCAUGGGGUGGAUGGUCAAAGGUGAGGUAUUUGUAACGAGUGGUUGUGAUCGGAGAGGAUGAAGAUGAGGUCUAAGUGGCUUUUCUUUUCUUAGAAUGAGUGUGGACCCUAUUUUUUCCUUGUAGUUUUUGCAUUUUGUACCUGAAAUAAAAUAUAAUAACCAAAUAUCAGAGAACCAAAAAUCAAAACCACAAAAAAUGAAUCUAGCAAAUAGACAAAUCGACAUAUGAAAUAAAACACAUUGGCAAGAGAACCACCUCACGAUGAAAGUCGAAUCACAACGAGUCUAACCAAAAUCUACUUCGAAUACAAAACUAGAGCUAAUACUAAUACUAUCGAGGCAAAAAUAAAUAAAUUAAACUAACCAACUAAAACUAAUAAUAUUAGAAUAAUAAAAUAAUAAAAUAAUGACAAGAAUACUAAUACUAAACAAAAUAAACAUAUUAAUAAUAAGAGUAAUAAUAAUUAAAAUAAUAAGAAAAUAAAUAAAAACAAAAAUAAUAAAAAAUAAAAUAAAAUAAAAUAAAAUGAAAGAAUAGGGUUGAGCCAAAUGGUGGUAACGGUGGUUGUUGGCGGCGAUGGUGAAUGGAGGCGCAAGUGAGGAUGUGUGAGAGGACUGAUGGAGGUGGUGCGCAGGUGAAAAAGGUUAGAACGGAAGGAAAAAAACAGACGAUAGAGGAAAUGGCAUGAUCGACGGUAGGGGAAGGAAAGGGAAAGGGAAAAGUGCGGGGAAGGAAUGGAAACGACACGAUCGACGGUAGAGGACAUGUGUCCAGCCAAUAUGGAAUGGCCCGGCUUGUGUGGCUCUUAAAGAUUCCUCCAAUUUUUCGAUUUUCGCUCUUUUUUCUUCCAAAUGUUCUCCUAAAUAUAGAAACAUGAAUUUAAAGGAUUAGGGGCAUAAAAUUCACCAUUUUAAAUCGAAUAAUCAUCCAAAAAUGCUUUAAGAAUGAGGCUAAAACAUUUACUUUUGGCAUUUACCAAUAAGAAAUGGGUUGGUUUGAAAAUAAAUGGAUUGCUUGUCGUAGAAUAUUAUUCUCGGCAGAAAUUAAAAUAUAAAAUUUUAAAAAUUAUAUUUAAUACAAUAAAACAUUUAUUAUAUUUAUGGUAGUAUUUUUUAAUGUGGUAUGGAACUCUUAGUUGAUGAAACUUGUUUAGUGGUAGAUUAAAUAGACUAUUAGAUUAUUAAUUCUGAAGCCAUUAGUCAUAUUUGUGUUUAUUGCAGGGGUUCAAGUAAAUGAGAAGCCUUCGUGAGAAGGAUCUCUCAUUGCAACUAGAGAUGCGUGAAGAAAUGUAGCGGCAAAAGUAGUGGGAAAAGUACAUUUGUAUUUUGAUAAUUUUAGGAAAAUCAUUUUAAAAAACAUACUUUAUGUACCUAGUUUUAGGAGAAAUUUAAUUUCUGUUGCAUGUUUAUUUCAAGACAAAUUUUUUGUGACUUUUAAUAAAGGGAUUGCAAUUCAUAAAAAUUAUGUUCUUAUAUGUAAUGGAUGGAUGCAAAAUAAUAUUUAUUUUAUUAAACUAAAGAGCUACUCACUGUUUGAAACCAAACUCGUGAAUAAGAAACUUAAAACUUCUCACUCUAAUACUUAUGAUAUUUACGACUUAGUCACGUUAAACAAGAAAGAAUGUAAUACCCCUAACCCGUAUCCGCUGCCAGAACAGGGUUUCGGAGCAUUACUAUCAUUUACAGAUCACUAAAAAAAUUUAAAUACUUAUCGAUUCAAUGCAUCAUAUAAAUAAAUAUAUUAUCAUUCAAUCAACAGUUUGACACUUGUAUAAGCAUCAAACAGCAACAUUGUUAGUAUACUUGCACAUAUCUCAUAUAAAUUCAACAUUGAUAUAUCUAUUUUCUCGACAUAUCGCACUUGAGUUUAAUAAUAGUCUCAACUUACAUAAUUUCCUUGUAUCAACAUAUCAAAGAUAAUCAUAUAUGUACAUGUCAUGAAACAUAUCAUGCUCUUACCGUUUCUUCAUAAGCAUAUAUCAUUCAUUUCAUUAUAUCAAUAUUUCAUGCUCCAUCAUUUCUAUAUAUUUUAUGUAUAUUUAUUCCGGUAAUAGCUUAUAUCAAACUUAACAUAAAUUAUAUUCCAUGUACUUAUACUUAUUUCGUUUAUCUAUCUUCAUAAUUAUUUCAUAUAACCAUUCGUCAUCUGAUACAUAUUACCUGAAUAUCAAUUGUUCAACAGAUGUUAGAGCGUCUCCCAUCCACGGUCUUAUUUAUCUUUGACAUGAUGCCAUAGUGUCUUUCAACUAUGGUCUUACUCAUUUUCUGUCAUGUUGCCAUGGUAUCUUUCAACCAUGGUCUUGUUCAUUUCAUAUCACGUUGCCAUGGUAUCUUUCAACCAUGGUCUUACACAUUUCAUAUCAGGUUGCCAUGGUAUCUUUCAACCAUGGUCUUACACAUUUCAUAUCAGGCUGCCAUGGUAUCUUUCAACCAUGGUCUUACACAUUUCAUAUCAGGUUGCCAUGGUAUCUUUCAACCAUGGUCUUACACAUUUCAUAUCAGAGAGCACACUCCCGCGAACCUCAUCCUUACAGUGGGAUUACCAGUCCAGGCUAAAUCCCCUGUAACAUAAACUCAUAGAGUAUUGUCGGGAUUACCAGUCCAGGCUAAAUCCUCUGCAACGACAAUUACUCUAAUGAGCUUAGAUCUGAAUUACCAGUCCAGGCUAAAUUCAGACCCUAAUUCGGAUUACCCGUCCGGGCUAAAUCCAUUUUACACGUAUUCUUCGGGAGGGCUAUAUCAGAAUAGGAUCACCGGUCCGGGCUAGAUCCUUUUUACCGUCAAUUCCUUUUCAGAGAUCCAUCGAAUUUUCCUUUCAUUCAACUGGGAUUUAUUUUCAAUUUAUAUCGAGAAUUAUCAAUAUUUCAUCAAAUAUCAUGAAUUGAACAUUCAAAUCAUAUUUUCAUCACAUAACCACAUAUUUCAAGUAUUUAAAAUACAAUUCAAGUUACACAAACUUACCUCAUUGCUUGUUUGUGUUUAUAAUUUCAUUAAUCCGAUAUCUUUUCUUUUCUACGAUCAAGUCUCAUAUUUGAGUCGUCCGGAUCUUUAUAAAUAAAUUUGAUCAUCAUUUUCAUUCAUUUCAUCUUCUAAUGCAUUUAAUUAAUGCUCUAGGCAAAAUUACCAUUUUGCCCCUAAACUUUUAAUUAAUGACGAUUUCGUCCUUAGGGUCAGGAAAAUAAAAUUCUUGCAAUUUAAUCCUUAUUUCCAGCUAUUAUUCUCAUAUAUAUUGAUAACAGUCCAUGAAUUCUAUAAAAUAUCAGAAUUUUCCAUAAUUUCAACACUUUUCAAUUUAAUCCCUAAAACAUGUUUUCCCCCGAUCUUGAACUAAAUUAAUAAUUUCAUUCAAUUUUGUAAUUUAAAUAAUAAAAUAAUCCAUUUCAUGCAAUUUGGUCAUUUAUGACAUUUUUACAAAAUUUCCCAUAAAGUUUUACUUUUAUUCAAUUUAGUCCCUAAGCCUAAAAUAUGCAAAUUAGCCAUGCUUAAUGAAUAUUCAUAUAUGUUUUCCUCCUCCUCCUCUCCAUUCCACAUCCUUGAUGUAUGUAGCACACUUGUAAGUAACAUUAUCUAUAAUCUUUAUUAUUUACUUUUAUGAAUAUUCAAGCUGUCCAUCUGUGUCAUGGUCACUAAAUUAUUUAUAUCUGGAGCUAUAGGACUCCAAAUUAAUAUCCGUUAAUUUUCCCUGAAACUAGACUCAUAUAUAUUCUUACCAUAAAAUUUUAAGAAUUUUUGGUUUAGUAAAUAAGUACAGUUUAUUCUUUAAAGUUACCCCUAUUCUGCUGUCUGACAGUUGUGACCCUUCUUCACUAAAAAUUAAUUAUCUCCUUGUACAGAAUUCGAAUGAUGUUCAUAUUUGUUUCUAUUGAAAAUAGACUCAUUCAUGAUUCUAAAAAUUUAAAUUUAAGCCUCUAAUUAUUUUAUCCAAUUUUUUUAUGAUUUUACAAAUUCAGAACAGGGGAACCCGAAAUCAUUCUGACCUUGUCUCACAAAAUUCAUAAUAUCUCAUUAUUUAGAAUUCCAUUGCUUACAUAAUUUCUUCUAUAAGAAACUAGACUUAAUAAGAUUUAAUUUCAUAUUUUAUUCAUCCUAUAAUUAGAUUUCUACAUUUUUUUAUGAUUUUUCAAAGUUAGACUACUGCUGCUGUCCAAAACUGUUUUAGUACAAGAUAUUAAUUACCAUGUUAUAACAUCCUUAUUUUCUUUUUCUACACCAUUUCUCAUCACUUUCUCUUAUUUUUUCUUCACUAACAUAUCAAGAACAUAGGACCUUAUGUAAGAAAACUCUACUAUAACAUUAUUUCCAUGCUUUAUCAAUAAUAACAAACUUAGAAACAUAUUGAAAUCUUGAUGUACUUACCUUUUCUUAUCGACUUCAAUCUUUAACUUGAUUUUUCUCUCUCCUCCAGCUUCGAUUUCUUGAAUCCGACUUGAUAUUCUUGCUCCCCAUCAUCUCCUUGCUAUCUUUCUCUCUUGAUGGCUAUGGAAAUUCUUUCAAUUUUUAGGUGAAAAUAAUGAAUUUUUGGUGGAACGACUAAAUUGUAAAGAAAGCAAACUUCUUUUCUUCUUCUUAUCUUACGUUAGUUUGCAUGGGAAAGGAAAUGUGUUGAUAAUUCUUCAUCUUUCCUUCCUUUUAUACUAAAUAAAUAAUAAUAUAAUAAUAAACAUCUCAUAAAAUAUUAAUAAAAUAAUAUUUAUCUAAUUAAUUAAUUUAAAAUAUCAUCAACAUAAUCAUUACAUUCUAGAAUUCUCUCUCUUACUAAUUGACCAUUUUGCCCUUCAUGAUCUUUUAGAAUUCCAUCCUUGAGUCAUCACUUAAUUUGGUAAAAUUGCGAUUUAGUCCCUAAUAAUUUUUUACCUAUUCAAUUUGGUCCUAAUUCAUCAAUUUUUCUUGGUUUCUAGAUCAUUCCACCCUUAAAAUAUUGUCACCAUUAGUCCUUCAACUUUUUUAUAUUUACACUUCAACCCCUUAAUUUUUUAGUAUUUACUCUUGUGCAACAAGACUUUUCUCAUCUUUACAAUUUAGUCCUUUCUUGAAUUAAUAUAUCAUAAUAUACUUUUCAAUAUUGACAUCACUCAAAAAUUCCCUUUUUGUCACUUUAUUUCCUUAUUUUACUAUAUCACGGAUAAUAUAUUACUGUAAAAAUUUUCGGGGUAUUACAAAGAAUGAAUAAACUUUUUAAAUAUGGGACUUUAAGCUCACUUAAAGAGGUACAUCUUCCACAAUGUAAAUCUUGCCUUGAAAGGUAAAAUGACAAAGCAAUCUCCUCAUGCAAAAGGUACAAGGGCUGUUCAAUCAUUAAAACUUGUGAAUACUGGCGUAUGAGAUCCCAUGAACGUUAGUGUGAGAUUUGGUUACAAUUAUUAUGUAAACUUUAUAAACAUUUAUUCCAGAUACUAGUCUGUGUACCUAAUGCACCACAAGAGUGAAACUUUUAAAAAGUUUCAAGAGUUUAGUGUGAAAGUGGAGAAACAAUUAGGUUUACCUAUUAAGAAACUUCAGUUUGACCAACGCGGGGAAUACUUAUGGGACGAGUUUAUAGGAUACCUCAUAGAGAAUGAGAUACAAUUCUAAUAAAUUGUGCGAGGUACUCUACAAUAGAAUGGCGUGGCAGAAAGAUGGAACAAAACCUUACAGAUAGAAUUGUGCAUGUUUGUUGGUUGUCCAAAACGAACUAAGGGUGGAUUAUUUUAUAACCCAAAAGACCAAACAGUUAAGGUUUAGACUUAUGCUACUUUCCUUGGGGAAAUCUAUAUUAAAAAUUUUAAACCUUGAAGUAGAUUGUAACUUCAUAAAAUUUCAGGAAAAUGAGCUUAUUUUUUAGUAACUUGUAAGUCAUUUUACGUGAAACAAACGCAUCUGAAGGAAAAUGAAUAAGAGGAUAAUAAUUUUAUAAACAAUGAUCUAAAAAUUUUACUCAUACCAUGUGUCGAAACUAUUUUUAAAUCGAGUUUUGGAAAAUGGGAAUCGACUUUAAAAAUGAAAACGGGAGUCGCCGCCAAUCUUUUUAGGUGUGAUUGGAUCACCUUUAAAACAUUUGUUUUAAAAUCGUUGGUUUUGGUCUACGAAAUCAAAAGAAUGGGUUCGGGAGUCGGUUACGUACGAGGAAGGGUUGGCACCCUCGUAACGCCCAAAAAUUGGUACCUAAUUGAUUAUCAAAAUGUCUCUAAUGUCGGAAAUUAAAAAUUUUAAGAUGUAAUCCUCUUUAAAGUAUUUGAAAAUUUGGGUUUACUUGUAUCAAAGUAUUGACUAUAAGUUAGCCUUUUAGAAACCUCUAUCUCAAAAUAGCAAAAUGUUACAUUCAGUAAGUUAGGACAUAUCACUUUACAAUUCCAAGACAGUCACUUAUAUUUUGAAAUCCUUUAAGAACUUUAGAAUGGUACUUGACUAUUCGAACUUAACGAGAAAAGUUGCAACCCAAUAAGUUAGGGCACUACUUCUUCGAAAUUUUCAAACACCAAGCAUUGCCUUUAUAUUUUUUGAAAAUUUUGGAGCCUUGUCUUUUUAAAGAUGAUGUGUGGAGAAUUGUAUUAAAUCAUAAUGAUAUAUUAUUGUACUAGGUAGAUAAAAAAUGAAUACUACGAUAUAAAGAAUAAUACAUAUAAAGCAAAAAAAAAUGCAAACAAAGAUAUAUAGCAUGUAUCGAGAACGGAUAAACAAGAUAUAUAAACAUAUGAGAUAAUACUUAAAUGAUGCGUGAUAUAAAAACAAACAUAAUCAAAUAAUGCAUGAUAUACAAAUAGAAUAAAUGUAAUGUCAAUAUGCAUAUAAUUAUAAUAAAAAAUUUAACACAUACAUGAUACAUACAAUACAAAACAUAUAGAAGAACUAAUAAAAAAAAUGAUUGAUUGCUAACAAAAUAUACAUGCAAUUAAAAACAAGACAUUUCAUAUCAAUAGUAUUUAAUAUAUAAUAUAAUAACAUAGUAACAAGAAUAAAAGAAUAAUAAUUAUAUAACAAUAUAUUGGUUUGAAAGCAUGUAAGAGAUUUCAUAAUAUAACAAUAUUAGUUUAAAAUGAAAUAAUAUAUGUAUAGUAAAUAAAUAAAAAAAUGAAAUGUGUAUAUAAUGUGAGUUAAAAAUAUGAUUUAAUAAUAAUAAUUUACAUUUUUAAAAUAAUAUAUAUAAAACAAUCUAAUUUGCGAUACAUAAUAUACAUAACAUAUAUAUAUAAAAUAAUAUAAAAAUGAAAUAUAAUAAAGAUUAUAUAAUAAAAUGUAAUAUGAACAUAUAAGAAAAAAAAUAGAUAUAAUAUGAAGUAACAAUAUAUAUAAGUAAUUAAUAAAUAUAAUAUAUGAAAAUAUAAUAAUAUAUAUAAGAGAUGUAAAAUAAUAAUUUAAGAAAAAUAAUAUAUAAUAAGUAAUAAUAAUAUAUAAUUAAAAAUAAUACUUAUAAUAAAAUAAUUUUAUAAUAUAUAAUAUAAAAGUAAAAUUAGAAAUAAACGAAUAAUAAAAUAUAUAUGGAAUAAUAUAAUAAAUAUAGGACUAAAUUUAAAGUUUAACAAAAUUAUGGGGCGAAUUUUGAAAGGAAUAAAACUGAAUUAAGGACCUAUUUAAAACGCGCGCAAAAUUAAAGGGACUCACUGGGCAAAUUGCCCCUUUUCCCAAAACGUCACCGUUUCCCCUAAUACAAUUGUAAAUCAUUGGGAGGGUCGAAUUGAAAUAGAAUUAAAAUAUUAAUACCAAAUUAAAAAAAUAAAAAAAUGAAAUUAGAAGUAUAAAAAAUUGCGAGAGGACCAAUUGGGUAAUUAACCCAAUUCUCAAAAAUGGGCGGAUCCUCCCCGGGUAAUUGGGUCAACGCGCGGAUCCUAUAGUUGUAAAAUGACACCGUUUUAAAUAGACUAUAUAAAUCAAACUUCGCCCCCAAAAUCAUUUUAACAUCCGUUUUCAAAAAAAAAAAGAAAAAAUCCUCUGGAAGAGGAUUUGGGGGCCGAUCCCGGAGCUGCUGAGCCUCCGUCCAGGGGUCUCCUCACGCGCUCACGCGCCGCCCUGUACGGUGGUCUGAGGGUUAAAAUCCUCGUCCUUCCACAGGUAAUCUCUUCCCCUUUUUAAAAAUUACUAUUUUUUGCUAAAAUGAUGUACAUACAUGCAUAUGCUCUAAAAUGAAAAAAACACACAGUUAAAUCACCUUUUCUUUGAAACUGCUUGUAUUCUCUUUUUUUAUUUCUGUAUGCAUGUGUGUGUAAUCGUUACAAGAGUUACAAAGGCUUUUUAUAGCCUACGGAUUUGUUACAUAAGGAAAGAAAUCUCUGAUUUCUAUUGUAUCUUUGACUGAUGUGCUGCGAUUUCCUUGCCAUUUUCUACUCUGCUUUUUCGCGUAUCUGCUGUUUGUUUCCUUUUCUUGUAGGCAAUUGAGCGAGGGAUCCGGCAAUGACCAUGCUGGUGUAGACGCGUGCACUAAUCACGGUGCUGAUGGAGGGUUACUGAAACAUCGUGGGAGACGAGCAGACGCAUCCGUUGAAAUUGCUUCUGGAAGCUUCUACUUGCGACGCGAGGAGAAAGGCAGAAACCCUAGGGUUUGCUGCCUUGGUGUAACAAGCUGGGCCAAUUGGGCUUUUUGAAUUUGGGCUAGCUAGUUUUAAUUGGGUCACGGGUGUUUGUGGGUCUGCUGGGUAGUUUGGGCCUGAUUAGGUUACAAGUGUAACGGGCUUUGGGCUCACUAGGCUUUGAGGCCUGUUUAUUUGUAAAUAGACUUUAAUGGACAUUUUUUAAAUAAAUAUUUAUUCAUAUUCUGCUUUCAGCCCGGUUAAAUUUGGGCUUUUACACCAUGAUUUUGAUUUAUUUUAUUAGUGAUUUUCAUUUUCUAUUUUCCUUUUUUUAGCGACUCUUUAGAUAAUUGAGACCAUUAAAAAUAAAUCAUAAUAACUAAAAUUAAAAAUUUAAUAUUAUAAAAAAAACCCAUAUAUUUUAGUUUAAAUUUUAAAAUUAAAUUGUUCACAGAUUAAGCUAUUUCUCCGCUUAGUAGGCACGUUUUAAAUUUUUUUACCACAAAUUAUCUCUCUCAAAAAUAGUAAACCUAACAACAUCCUUUUACCAAAUUUACACAUUUACACGUUUUGUUCAACACUCUCGGCAAUUACCAAUCCAACUGUUAUAAAUUAGGCCAAAGUUCAUUGGAAAAAACACACCAUCACAAAUUAACAGUAUUAGCCGCCUAGCUAGCUAACUUUUAUUUUAAAAAAAACAUGAAGAGGUUUUCCCUUAUUGUUUUGUGCGUGGUGACUCUAGUGAUGGUGUUGUUUUCAGGUGCAGAGGCAGCGCCAGUGCCGAAAUGUGAUAACCCCUUAGAGUAUAGCUCAUGCUUGAAUGCGUACAAGAAGCCACCUCCAUCAGCCGGUUGUUGCCAGAAGAUGAAGGAACAAGCACCAUGCUAUUGCAAGUACAUGAAGAUAGAAGAUGUCAAACGUGUUUUUGACAGAGUUGAGAUUGCGAAAAUGGCUAAAUUGUGUGGAGUUUCAUAUUCUUCCACCUGCUAGAAUCCCGUUUGGUUUCAUUUGACUAUCUCUGGAUGAGAUAACCUGACAUCUCAAUAAAUGAAAAUUUUAUUUGAAAACUAUUUUUUUACCCAUAAUUUCGACUAUAAUGUACUUGUGUUCUUUUUUUUUUUUGGAAUAAUA
Molecule: long non-coding RNA, 26271 nt
Filed under: Gossypium barbadense (sea-island cotton)
Lineage: Eukaryota; Viridiplantae; Streptophyta; Magnoliopsida; Malvales; Malvaceae
Description: long non-coding RNA (GBAR_LNC008558)
Source: RNAcentral